ACGACUCUCGGCAACGGAUAUCUCGGCUCCCGCAUCGAUGAAGAACGUAGCGAAAUGCGAUACCUGGUGUGAAUUGCAGAAUCCCGCGAACCAUCGAGUCUUUGAACGCAAGUUGCGCCUGAGGCCACUCGGCCGAGGGCACGCCUGCCUGGGCGUCACGC
This 161-nucleotide ribosomal RNA is filed under the name Hordeum arizonicum. Its description in RNAcentral is "5.8S ribosomal RNA". It matches the Rfam family "5.8S ribosomal RNA". From Rfam's summary of the family: 5.8S ribosomal RNA (5.8S rRNA) is a component of the large subunit of the eukaryotic ribosome. It is transcribed by RNA polymerase I as part of the 45S precursor that also contains 18S and 28S rRNA. Functionally, it is thought that 5.8S rRNA may be involved in ribosome translocation. Lineage: Eukaryota; Viridiplantae; Streptophyta; Magnoliopsida; Poales; Poaceae. The record is from RNAcentral.